RNAcentral lists this ribosomal RNA (253 nucleotides) under uncultured bacterium. RNAcentral's name for it is "partial 16S ribosomal RNA". It matches the Rfam family "Bacterial small subunit ribosomal RNA", at positions 524 to 776 of the family's 1533-position model. The record is from RNAcentral.
UACGUAGGGUGCGAGCGUUGUCCGGAAUUAUUGGGCGUAAAGAGCUCGUAGGCGGUUCGUCGCGUCGGCUGUGAAAACCCGGAGCUCAACUCCGGGCCUGCAGUCGAUACGGGCGGACUCGAGUUCGGCAGGGGAGACUGGAAUUCCUGGUGUAGCGGUGAAAUGCGCAGAUAUCAGGAGGAACACCGGUGGCGAAGGCGGGUCUCUGGGCCACUACUGACGCUGAGAAGCGAAAGCAUGGGGAGCGAACAGG